CGGCUAACAUACAACUAUAUAAAAGGAUAGUAAAACAAAAUUCUACAAAGGGUCUUGCAGGAAAGAAAAACUGAGGCAAGAUACCUUUGCGAAAUACUUGGAAGGAUUCUCUGCACAUCGAAGGAUUGUCAAAAGGGCAAUCUGAAAAUUUCCAGAU
This is a long non-coding RNA of Telopea speciosissima, 157 nucleotides long. RefSeq lists it as uncharacterized. The transcript is spliced from 2 exons. NCBI's taxonomy places the organism in Eukaryota, Viridiplantae, Streptophyta, Magnoliopsida, Proteales, Proteaceae. The record is from RefSeq and is a predicted model, not a curated record.